RNAcentral lists this ribosomal RNA (440 nucleotides) under uncultured bacterium. RNAcentral describes it as "partial 16S ribosomal RNA". It matches the Rfam family "Bacterial small subunit ribosomal RNA", at positions 338 to 795 of the family's 1533-position model. The record is from RNAcentral.
CCUACGGGUGGCUGCAGUGGGGAAUAUUGCACAAUGGGGGAAACCCUGAUGCAGCGACGCCGCGUGAGUGAAGAAGUAUUUCCGUAUGUAAAGCUCUAUCAGCAGGGAAGAUAAUGACGGUACCUGACCCAGCCCCCCCGGCUAACUACGUGCCAGCCGCCGCGGUCAUACGUAGGGGGCAAGCGUUACCCGGAUUUACUGGGUGUAAAGGGAGCGUUGACGGCAGCGCAAGGCUGGAGUGAAAUCCCAUGGCUUAACCAUGGAACUGCCUUGGAAACUGUGCAGCUGGAGUGCAGGAGAGGUAAGCGGAAUUCCUAGUGUAGCGGUGAAAUGCGUAGAUAUUAGGAAGAACACCAGUGGCGAAGGCGGCUUACUGGACUGUAACUGACGUUGAGGCUCGAAAGCGUGGGGAGCGAACAGGAUUAGAUACCCGAGUAGUC